This 969-nucleotide ribosomal RNA is filed under the name Lactiplantibacillus plantarum. RNAcentral's name for it is "bacterial SSU rRNA". It matches the Rfam family "Bacterial small subunit ribosomal RNA", at positions 65 to 1002 of the family's 1533-position model. Lineage: Bacteria; Bacillati; Bacillota; Bacilli; Lactobacillales; Lactobacillaceae. The record is from RNAcentral.
AACUCUGGUAUUGAUUGGUGCUUGCAUCAUGAUUUACAUUUGAGUGAGUGGCGAACUGGUGAGUAACACGUGGGAAACCUGCCCAGAAGCGGGGGAUAACACCUGGAAACAGAUGCUAAUACCGCAUAACAACUUGGACCGCAUGGUCCGAGNUUGAAAGAUGGCUUCGGCUAUCACUUNUGGAUGGUCCCGCGGCGUAUUAGCUAGAUGGUGAGGUAACGGCUCACCAUGGCAAUGAUACGUAGCCGACCUGAGAGGGUAAUCGGCCACAUUGGGACUGAGACACGGCCCAAACUCCUACGGGAGGCAGCAGUAGGGAAUCUUCCACAAUGGACGAAAGUCUGAUGGAGCAACGCCGCGUGAGUGAAGAAGGGUUUCGGCUCGUAAAACUCUGUUGUUAAAGAAGAACAUAUCUGAGAGUAACUGUUCAGGUAUUGACGGUAUUUAACCAGAAAGCCACGGCUAACUACGUGCCAGCAGCCGCGGUAAUACGUAGGUGGCAAGCGUUGUCCGGAUUUAUUGGGCGUAAAGCGAGCGCAGGCGGUUUUUUAAGUCUGAUGUGAAAGCCUUCGGCUCAACCGAAGAAGUGCAUCGGAAACUGGGAAACUUGAGUGCAGAAGAGGACAGUGGAACUCCAUGUGUAGCGGUGAAAUGCGUAGAUAUAUGGAAGAACACCAGUGGCGAAGGCGGCUGUCUGGUCUGUAACUGACGCUGAGGCUCGAAAGUAUGGGUAGCAAACAGGAUUAGAUACCCUGGUAGUCCAUACCGUAAACGAUGAAUGCUAAGUGUUGGAGGGUUUCCGCCCUUCAGUGCUGCAGCUAACGCAUUAAGCAUUCCGCCUGGGGAGUACGGCCGCAAGGCUGAAACUCAAAGGAAUUGACGGGGGCCCGCACAAGCGGUGGAACAUGUGGUUUAAUUCGAAGCUACGCGAAGAACCUUACCAGGUCUUGACAUACUAUGCAAAUCUAA